Molecule: ribosomal RNA, 397 nt
Filed under: uncultured bacterium
Lineage: Bacteria
Description: bacterial SSU rRNA
Rfam family: Bacterial small subunit ribosomal RNA
Source: RNAcentral
AUCAUUCACAAUGGGGGAAACCCUGAUGCAGCAACGCCGCGUGAGUGAAGAAGUAUUUCGGUAUGUAAAGCUCUAUCAGCAGGGAAGAAAAUGACGGUACCUGACUAAGAAGCCCCGGCUAACUACGUGCCAGCAGCCGCGGUAAUACGUAGGGGGCAAGCGUUAUCCGGAUUUACUGGGUGUAAAGGGAGCGUAGACGGCGAUGCAAGUCUGGAGUGAAAACCCGGGGCUCAACCCCGGGACUGCUUUGGAAACUGUAUAGCUGGAGUGCCGGAGAGGUAAGCGGAAUUCCUAGUGUAGCGGUGAAAUGCGUAGAUAUUAGGAGGAACACCAGUGGCGAAGGCGGCUUACUGGACGGUAACUGACGUUGAGGCUCGAAAGCGUGGGGAGCAAACAG